Molecule: non-coding RNA, 155 nt
Organism: Arachis ipaensis
Lineage: Eukaryota; Viridiplantae; Streptophyta; Magnoliopsida; Fabales; Fabaceae
Source: RefSeq, a predicted model, not a curated record
CUACUUCUGCCGUCGCCGGAAAAAGUGGCCGUUGAUCCAUCGAAGCUUCUGGCCGCCGCCGGAGCUGUUGCCGGGGUCGGUUCGGAAUCGCAGCUGCCUUAUUGUAUUAUUUCGUGUUGCUAUGGUUAUUGCAAAAGUGGCUGGGAGCUGAGGCU